CAGUCGCCGCGGUAACACGAAGGGUGCAAGCGUUACUCGGAAUUACUGGGCGUAAAGCGUGCGUAGGUGGUGGUUUAAGUCCGUUGUGAAAGCCCUGGGCUCAACCUGGGAAUUGCAGUGGAUACUGGGUCACUAGAGUGUGGUAGAGGAUAGUGGAAUUUCCGGUGUAGCAGUGAAAUGCGUAGAGAUCGGAAGGAACAUCUGUGGCGAAGGCGACUAUCUGGGCCAACACUGACACUGAGGCACGAAAGCGUGGGGAGCAAACAGGAUUAGAUACCCGAGUAGUCCCUGUCUCUUAUAC
Molecule: ribosomal RNA, 301 nt
Filed under: uncultured bacterium
Lineage: Bacteria
Description: partial 16S ribosomal RNA
Rfam family: Bacterial small subunit ribosomal RNA
Source: RNAcentral